CGUAGGCGGCGGACCUUGUCGAGUGUGAAAGCCCCGGGCUCAACCUGGGAGGUGCGCUCGAGACGGGUUUGCUGGAGUUCGGGAGAGGAGAGUGGAAUUCCCAGUGUAGAGGUGAAAUUCGUAGAUAUUGGGAAGAACACCGGUAGGCGAAGGCGGCUCUCUGGACCGAGACUGACGCUGAGGCGCGAAAGCGUGGGGAGACAAACAGGAUUAGAUACCCUGGUAGUCCACGCUGUAAACGAUAGUGUGCUAGACGUUGGGGAGCGUAGCUCUUCGGUGUCGCCGCAAACGCUUUAAGCACACCGCCUGGGGGAUACGGCCGCAAGGUUAAA
This 332-nucleotide ribosomal RNA is filed under the name uncultured bacterium. RNAcentral's name for it is "bacterial SSU rRNA". It matches the Rfam family "Bacterial small subunit ribosomal RNA", at positions 570 to 898 of the family's 1533-position model. The record is from RNAcentral.